This 73-nucleotide transfer RNA is filed under the name Ictidomys tridecemlineatus (thirteen-lined ground squirrel). RNAcentral's name for it is "Spermophilus tridecemlineatus (thirteen-lined ground squirrel) tRNA". It matches the Rfam family "tRNA". From Rfam's summary of the family: Transfer RNA (tRNA) molecules are approximately 80 nucleotides in length. Lineage: Eukaryota; Metazoa; Chordata; Mammalia; Rodentia; Sciuridae. The record is from Rfam by way of RNAcentral.
GGGGAUACAGCUCAAUUGGUAGAGUGCUUGCCUUGCAUGCACACUGCCCUGGGUUUGAUCCCCAGCACCACCA